UGUCGAUACCUGUCCAAAACAGAACGACCCGCGAACCAAAGAUCACCACUCUCGGUGGGCCGGUUUCUUAGCCGAUUCCUUGCCCGCCGGAUCCGUGGUUUCGCGUAUCGGCAUGAUCGGGAGCUUUAUCUCGGUCUUGUCGUGCGCGUUGCUUCCGGAUAUCACAAAACCCCGGCACGAAAAGUGUCAAGGAACAUGCAAACGAACGGCUGGCAUUCGCCUCCCCGGAGACGGAGUGUGGGCGGAUGCUGUGCUGCGAACUGAAGUCUAAAACGACUCUCGGCAACGGAUAUCUCGGCUCUCGCAUCGAUGAAGAACGUAGCGAAAUGCGAUACUUGGUGUGAAUUGCAGAAUCCCGUGAACCAUCGAGUCUUUGAACGCAAGUUGCGCCCCAAGCCUUCUGGCCGAGGGCACGUCUGCCUGGGUGUCACAAAUCGUCGUCCCUCACCAUCCUUUGCUGAUGCGGGACGGAAGCUGGUCUCCCGUGUGUUACCGCACGCGGUUGGCCUAAAUCCGAGCCAAGGACGCCUGGAGCGUACCGACAUGCGGUGGUGAACUUGAUCCAUUACAUUUUAUCGGUCGCUCUUGUCCGGAAGCUGUAGAUGACCCAAAGUCCAUAUAGCGACCCCAGGUCAGGCGGGAUUACCC
Molecule: unclassified non-coding RNA, 648 nt
Filed under: Arabidopsis thaliana (thale cress)
Lineage: Eukaryota; Viridiplantae; Streptophyta; Magnoliopsida; Brassicales; Brassicaceae
Description: sequence contains ITS1, 5.8S rRNA gene and ITS2
Rfam family: 5.8S ribosomal RNA (bases 275-430)
Source: RNAcentral